RNAcentral lists this ribosomal RNA (407 nucleotides) under uncultured bacterium. RNAcentral describes it as "bacterial SSU rRNA". It matches the Rfam family "Bacterial small subunit ribosomal RNA", at positions 355 to 776 of the family's 1533-position model. The record is from RNAcentral.
UGGGGAAUAUUGGGCAAUGGGGGAAACCCUGACCCAGCGACGCCGCGUGAGGGAAGAAGGUCUUCGGAUUGUAAACCUCUGUCCCAUGGGAAGAAACAAAUGACGGUACCAUGGGAGGAAGCCCCGGCUAACUACGUGCCAGCAGCCGCGGUAAUACGUAGGGGGCGAGCGUUGUCCGGAAUGACUGGGCGUAAAGGGCGCGUAGGCGGCUCGAUAAGUUGGAUGUGAAAUACCCGUGCUCAACAUGGGGGUUGCAUUUAAGACUGUCGAGCUGGAGUGCAGGAGAGGAAAGCGGAAUUCCCAGUGUAGCGGUGAAAUGCGUAGAGAUUGGGAGGAACACCAGUGGCGAAGGCGGCUUUCUGGACUGUAACUGACGCUGAGGCGCGAAAGCGUGGGGAGCAAACAGG